AAAUGAGAAACAUAGCUUGAUUUGUAAUUCUUGGAUUAUGAGCCUAUUUGGUUACUACAGUGAGUGCAAUACUUUGUGCUCUUCGAGAGAGAGAGUUUUUAUUUCUAGGUUUUAGAAAUCAUCUAUCUUUUAUAUCUUUGUAUUGUUGCUGAGGAUUUGACGAGUUGGGGAAGCAGACAGCAAUUGAAGAAAGCCUUAUACUCAUUCCUUAUCUUGUGGUGACUGGGCAAUAAGUGUGCAUUUCCUUUAUAUCUGUGUGUGGUCUGUUCUGUUUAUUUUUUAUUUUUCAAGCAAAUGAGUUGCUGCAU
Pelobates cultripes (western spadefoot toad) is the source of this 308-nucleotide non-coding RNA. Lineage: Eukaryota; Metazoa; Chordata; Amphibia; Anura; Pelobatidae. The record is from the annotation of a GenBank genome assembly.